GAACGAACGCUGGCGGCGCGCCUAAUACAUGCAAGUCGAGCGAGAAGGUGUAGCAAUACACUUGUAAAGCGGCGAACGGGUGAGGAAUGCAUGGGUAACCUACCCUCGAGUGGGGAAUAACUAGCCGAAAGGUUAGCUAAUACCGCAUACGUUUCCGGAACUUCGGUUUCGGAAAGAAAGCAAUACCGUGGGUAUUGCGCUCCUGGAUGGGCUCAUGUCCUAUCAGCUUGUUGGUGAGGUAACGGCUCACCAAGGCUUCGACGGGUAGCUGGUCUGAGAGGACGAUCAGCCACACUGGCACUGCGACACGGGCCAGACUCCUACGGGAGGCAGCAGUAAGGAAUAUUGCGCAAUGGACGAAAGUCUGACGCAGCGACGCCGCGUGGGGAUGAAGGUCUUCGGAUUGUAAACCCCUUUCGGGAGGGAAGAUGGAGUGGGUAACCACUUGGACGGUACCUCCAGAAGCAGCCACGGCUAACUUCGUG
This 485-nucleotide ribosomal RNA is filed under the name uncultured bacterium. RNAcentral describes it as "bacterial SSU rRNA". It matches the Rfam family "Bacterial small subunit ribosomal RNA", at positions 27 to 507 of the family's 1533-position model. The record is from RNAcentral.